This 608-nucleotide ribosomal RNA is filed under the name Aspergillus sp. BAB-3901. RNAcentral describes it as "eukaryotic LSU rRNA". The stretch from base 208 to 361 matches the Rfam family "5.8S ribosomal RNA". The record is from RNAcentral. Lineage: Eukaryota; Fungi; Ascomycota; Eurotiomycetes; Eurotiales; Aspergillaceae.
UCCGUAGGUGAACCUGCGGAAGGAUCAUUACCGAGUGCUGGGUCCUUCGGGGCCCAACCUCCCACCCGUGCUUACCGUACCCUGUUGCUUCGGCGGGCCCGCCUUCGGGCGGCCCGGGGCCUGCCCCCGGGACCGCGCCCGCCGGAGACCCCAAUGGAACACUGUCUGAAAGCGUGCAGUCUGAGUCGAUUGAUACCAAUCAGUCAAAACUUUCAACAAUGGAUCUCUUGGUUCCGGCAUCGAUGAAGAACGCAGCGAAAUGCGAUAACUAAUGUGAAUUGCAGAAUUCAGUGAAUCAUCGAGUCUUUGAACGCACAUUGCGCCCCCUGGUAUUCCGGGGGGCAUGCCUGUCCGAGCGUCAUUUCUCCCCUCCAGCCCCGCUGGUUGUUGGGCCGCGCCCCCCCGGGGGCGGGCCUCGAGAGAAACGGCGGCACCGUCCGGUCCUCGAGCGUAUGGGGCUCUGUCACCCGCUCUAUGGGCCCGGCCGGGGCUUGCCUCGACCCCCAAUCUUCUCAGAUUGACCUCGGAUCAGGUAGGGAUACCCGCUGAACUUAAGCAUAUCAAUAAGCGGAGGAAAAGAAACCAACCGGGAUUGCCUCAGUAACUGC